This 387-nucleotide ribosomal RNA is filed under the name Buchnera aphidicola. RNAcentral's name for it is "partial 23S ribosomal RNA". It matches the Rfam family "Bacterial large subunit ribosomal RNA", at positions 2102 to 2488 of the family's 2925-position model. RNAcentral also lists the same sequence under 1 other name. Lineage: Bacteria; Pseudomonadati; Pseudomonadota; Gammaproteobacteria; Enterobacterales; Erwiniaceae. The record is from RNAcentral.
UACUAUAGCUUGACACUGAAUUCUAAAUUUUGAUGUGUAGGAUAGGUGGGAGGCUAUGAAUCUGAAACGCUAGUUUCAGGGGAGCCGCACUUGAAAUACCACCCUUGAAAAUUCGGUAUUCUAACCUAGUGCCGUAAUCCGGUACAGAGACAGUGUCUGGUGGGUAGUUUGACUGGGGCGGUCUCCUCCCAAAGAGUAACGGAGGAGUGCGAAGAUUGGCUAAUCACGGUCGGACAUCGUGAGGUUAGUGCAAAGGCAUAAGCCAGUUUAACUGUGAGCGUGAUAACGCAAGCAGAUGCGAAAGCAGGUCUUAGUGAUCCGGUGGUUCUGUGUGGAAAGGCCAUCGCUCAACGGAUAAAAGGUACUCCGGGGAUAACAGGCUGAUAC